Molecule: small RNA, 80 nt
Filed under: Prunus dulcis (almond)
Lineage: Eukaryota; Viridiplantae; Streptophyta; Magnoliopsida; Rosales; Rosaceae
Description: sRNA ncRNA
Rfam family: Antisense RNA which regulates isiA expression
Source: RNAcentral
AUACCCCCCAAAAAUAAAGAGCCUUGAAUACUAGAAGAAAAGCACCAUACCUAACAAAAUUAAGUGAGUGCAGUACUCCA